Molecule: ribosomal RNA, 414 nt
Filed under: Psychropotes longicauda
Lineage: Eukaryota; Metazoa; Echinodermata; Holothuroidea; Elasipodida; Psychropotidae
Description: partial 16S ribosomal RNA
Rfam family: Bacterial large subunit ribosomal RNA
Source: RNAcentral
UAGCAUAAUAAUUUGUUUUUUAAAUGAAAACUAGUAUGAAUGGCCAUCCAUUUUCUAACUGUCUCUCUAUAUUCUCUUUUAAAUUUCUACCCCCGUGAAGAAGCGGGGAUUUCAAAGUAAGACGAAAAGACCCUGUCGAGCUUAAGCUAAUAAAAGAAAUUUUAUUAUAUUAAUUUAUAUUUAUCUUUUUUAAGCUUUGGUUGGGGCAACCAUGGAGUAAAACUAUCCUCCAGUUAUAAUAAGAUGAAUUUUAUUCUCUUUAUUAAUUUAAUGAACCAAACUAUUUUGGUAAACAGAAAAAGUUACCGCAGGGAUAACAGCGUAAUCUUCUUUGAGAGCCCAUAUUGACAAGAAGGUUUGCGACCUCGAUGUUGGAUUGGGGCAACCAAAAAGCGCAGCCUCUUUUAAAGGUUG